AGAGUUUGAUCAUGGCUCAGAACGAACGCUGGCGGCGUGGAUAAGACAUGCAAGUCGAACGCUGAUUACGGGGUAGCAAUAUUCCGUGGUCGGAGUGGCGCAAGGGUGCUUAACACGUGGGCAAUCUGCCGUGAAGCCUGGAAUAACUCGCUGAAAGGCGAGCUAAUGCCGGAUGUGAAAGUUGGAAGGCAUCUUCUGAUUUUCAAAGCUGGGGACCGCAAGGCCUGGCACUUCACGAUGAGCCCGCGGCCUAUCAGCUAGUUGGUGAGGUAACGGCUCACCAAGGCUUAGACGGGUAGCUGGUCUGAGAGGACGACCAGCCACACUGGAACUGAGACACGGUCCAGACACCUACGGGUGGCAGCAGUCGAGAAUUUUUCUCAAUGGGCGAAAGCCUGAAGGAGCGACGCCGCGUGGGGGAUGAAUGGCUUCGGCCCGUAAACCCCUGUCAUUCGCGAACAAGUGGUUUUACCUAACACGUAAAGCCUUGAUAGUAGCGGAAGAGGAAGGGACGGUUAACUCUGUGCCAGCAGCCGCGGUAAUAC
Molecule: ribosomal RNA, 545 nt
Filed under: uncultured bacterium
Lineage: Bacteria
Description: bacterial SSU rRNA
Rfam family: Bacterial small subunit ribosomal RNA
Source: RNAcentral